This 260-nucleotide long non-coding RNA is filed under the name Hordeum vulgare. RNAcentral's name for it is "long non-coding RNA (HVUL_LNC018809)". Lineage: Eukaryota; Viridiplantae; Streptophyta; Magnoliopsida; Poales; Poaceae. The record is from RNAcentral.
AUGUUAUGGUCGGGCUCCAAUAUGCACGGAAGAGGCCCAAUAGUGGGCCGCAUUAGGGGCUUAGCCCAAGUUAUCUAGGGUUUAGUGGAGGUUGUCCUCCUAUGUAAACACAUGUACCCCUUCGAUAUUAAGGAGACAAUAAACAGUAUUCUGUUGUCGUCUCCUGUUGUCAUCUCCCUCAGGAGACGGGAGCCCAAAACCUAGCCGCCUCUCUCUCUCUCACGCAGCGACGGCGCCCAACCGCCGGCGCCUGCGCCCCC